RNAcentral lists this long non-coding RNA (5028 nucleotides) under Sus scrofa (pig). RNAcentral describes it as "lncRNA (ENSSSCG00000061808.1)". The record is from RNAcentral. Lineage: Eukaryota; Metazoa; Chordata; Mammalia; Artiodactyla; Suidae.
GUAUAAUCUUAUGCAAAUGACAAUGUUCUACAAACACGUCUUCCAGUUGUAACUAUGCUGCUCAUUCAAUAUUAACAGGCGAUUAAGGCUAUUUCUACAAGCUACCAAAACAUCUGGAAGAAGAGAGGUAAAAAUCACCCAGAUGUUUGAGGAAUGAUAGAGUUGAGAUGACAGCUAGUUGCAGCUAUCUUAGUCUUUUUUUUUUUUUUUUUGGCAAUUUUACAUAGUCUUACACUUUUCCAGCGUAUCAGCCUUAAACAAACAGGCAUGUAUACACACCUGAGAAACUGGGAAAGACUUUCAUAACUUUUCCAAGAGAUGGGAAAGGAUUUAUAUUUUUAUUUUCAAGGUCUACAUCCAUGAAGCUCAUCAGUUUGGGCGUACUAUUGACACUUGAAAUUUGCAGCAGAAUUUGGCUUCUUUUUUAGUUCUGCUUUUUUAUGGUUUUAUUUAUUUUUACACAUAAUGGAUAUAACUGUGUAACAUCAGCAAUGCAACAAGAAUGUUAGAACACCAAAUAUGAAUUUUUGAUCUCAUGGUUGAUAAAAUAUAUAAAAUAAUGAUUGCCAUUCUCAAAUUUUUGUAUUUGUUAUCAUUUUUAGGGAUAUUGCCAAGUCAAAGUUGUACAUCUGUGGGGGCACAUUCCUCAUAAAUGUUGUUAAAUAUUUAAUGAGAGCAAGAAAUUGCCAAGUAUAUAGUAAAAGAAAUCUGUCUAAUCCUCUUCCCAAGAUUCUUCUAUGCUUGAGUUAUAUUAUAGGAGUCUUACUCCACAUCCAUUUACCUUCCUUCCUCAGGCACAUUUUCUCAAGGAACAAAUUCAUUGAUGAGCUCUAAUAGUUUUCCAGUAACAUCUUUAGGAUUUUCUAUGUAUAGAAUCAUGUCAUCUGCAGACAGUGACAGUUUCACUUUUUCUUUUCCAAUUUAGAUUCCUUUUAGAUUUCUCUUCUCUGAUGGUGCAGCAGCAAUUGAAUUUUAAUUUUUCAGUGUCUUUGAACCUUCAGAACUUUUUUGUCUUAUAACAGAAACAUGUUGGUUCCAAUAAUGACAAAUAGCAAAUGCCUGUUUCUAGCAUUUUCAGUUUCUAUUCUGUCAGUUGUCUCAUCUACAGCUGCCUGAUCUUUAAGGUCCUCUUGUGCUCCAUGAUUUUGAGAAUCCAUGUUACUGUGAUAACAGAAGCCCUAUGUGGUUACUGCUUUUUACCCAAAUCUAACACCCUAAGAUACUUCGUACAGUGAAAUGUUAAAUUAAACGUCCAAAUUAUGUUCCUCCAUGGCAUUUCCCUGAGUGGAAGGACUAGGAAAAGAAGACAGACCACAGAGAACUAUAUAUGGGAUUGUUUCCACAAAUAUACUUUUCUGCCCAAAAUUAUUUAGAUUCCCUGCAUUUUAAUUUACACUCUUAAGUUAGAGUUGAUUUGGACAAUGGAAAAGUGACAUAUCACAGCAGCUAAGUGAAUGGGAAAGUCAAUGCAGGCCUUUUUUUUUUUUUUUUUUUUUUUGCAAUGAUAAAUUUUACUAUGAUCAUUAGGGAAACUUCUAACGCCACUGAGAACAAAUGGGAAAAUAAAAGAGCAUAUUGCAAAAUAUAGAAAUUUAUAGCACCACCUAUUGGUUUCAAAAUAAAUGUUGAAAGUUUUCCUACUUUUAGUAAUUAUGCAGAAUAGUAUAAAGAGACAUGAUUAUCAUUUUGAGUCAUAUGAAGAUUAAUGUUUUUACUUCCCAGUGAAUGAUGCUAUGGAAAAUUUUUAAACAAGACUUACAUUGAGGACUAAUAUAAGGUAAUGCUUUUAUAUACCAGCGAAGUAAAAGAGAAUCAAGAUUUUUAUUUGUGCAUUACUUGUGCCGAGUUAUAUUAAGUUUUUUAAAUCACCCUUUCAGGGUUAUUUCAAACACUGAUGAAGUGUAUUGGGGUGCAUUUUCUCUAUCAGUCAGCUGGAACAAAAUAGUUAAAAGUCAUCUGAUUUUUUAAUGCUACCAUUCAGACUGUGAAAUAAAAGUCAUAUUUUUAUGGCAAGACAAGAGAAAUUUAAACAAAACUCUUAUCUGCACUUUGGCCUCCUCUCUCUCCUCAUUGCAUUAUGAUAUCUUCAUUAUGCCCCCAUUAAACUUUUCCCAACAGCAGAAAUACCUGCUCACCUUAAAGAGCAACAUUCCCGAGCAUCACCAAGAUAGCUCCUUAAAAGAUAGCAUUCCUUCCUGAUCCUGUAAGGGGUCAUCUUGGACUAUCAAGAUGACACUUAGUUCUGGAUGAUGUAAACUGUCAAUAACACGUCAUUUGAUGUCCAGCCCUCUGUCUCAAAAAACUUACAUAUAACUGUGCCUUGACUUCUAACAGGCAGAACAGUUCUCAGAGCUUUCUGAGAUGCUCUUCCUGGGUGGUAAUCCUCAAAUUUGGCUCAAAUAAAAUUUUCCAUUUCUUUCUUAGAUUGACUGGUGAAUUUUUCCCUGACAAUGCCUUCCCCUAAAAGCUGGAGAAGAUGCUGAAAAAUCUCUCGAUAGAAUAAAUUCUAGUAGCAUUGGCUACUCCAGACUCUAAUGUAUGUGGUCUUUACCCUUUAUUCAAUCCAGCCUUAAUAACAAUGAGAGAGGUUUUUCAGGAAUCUUAGAUUUCCUUUCCACUCUGCUUUCAGCAUAUUCCAGCCUGCAUCUUUUUCCAAAACGCAUGACCCUUCCUAAACUGGGAAGGAAAGAGCCAUCCAUCCCUUUCCCACACAUUAGGGAGCAUGUGGACCACACUUUUUAUGGAAACUCCCUUCCCCACCCUUGGGAUAACUGAGCUUACGAAAGGAUCACUUCAAGUCUGCAUUGGAGCUGAUGAACAUAUUUUCUCUGACCUUAUUUCUUUUGCAUGGAUUAUUUUUAAAAUCAAGUUUCUCUUUGUAAGACUUGAAGGGCAGUAAAAGCCUUGAGGGCAUCAGACAUGACAUCCUGCCCCUAAUAUUUGCAGUGGGCAAAUGAUCUGGAAAACUGAACUAUACAGGGAACCUCAGAAUAGAAUUAAAAGAAAAACAAUGCCAUUUUGACCCCACAUUGAACACUGGUUUUAAAUGACCUCUUUUCAUUUGACCAACUAUUCUCUAAAACUUCAACAGGCAUUAAAAUAGGAAGAUUGACUAAAUUUUAAAGCAGAGAAAAAACAAAACAAUGCAAAAAUAAUAGAGGACUCUGAGUCACUUGAAAGAAAACAGACACAUUAUCUUCGGGGAAGGAAUUAUUAGGCUGAACUGUAUAAAAUUACAUAUUUUUGUAAGUCAGAAAUUGUCAUAAAUCAACUAUAAUAGAAAAAAUAAAAAUCUUAAAAAAAUUUUUUAAUUGUCAAAUAGUCUAAAUUUCACUUGACUCAAUCUCAUAUUGAGUGAAGGAAAAAGAAAUUCAAUCCCAAUGAAAAAUAAAAAUGAGGAAGAGGAAAGAAGCCGAUGAUGCUUCAAGUAAUUCAGACAGUAUGAAUUAGCAUUUUAGGCUUUCUUCAUCAAAACUGUCAACGUGGUUCAUCUUCACUCCCUCUAUGACCAGCCUGACACUGGUUUCUAAUCAUCUGCAUUUGGUAUUUCUUUCUUUCCAAUGCAUUGCAUCUCAUCCCAUUUCUAAUAGGUAGCUUACAUGUUUCCAUAUUGGGAACUACCUAUUUUUUCAUGGACUAGAAUCCAAAAUGAGAUCCAUGAUCUUACUUGGGGAUUUUUUUAAAUAAAAGUGUUAUCGUGCCUUGCUUUUUAGAUUUUCAGAAGUUGGGAACAGCCACAGCCUGAUGAGACUCAUUGCACACUCCCCCCACUAUUCUAAACAGGCUUCACACCAGGCAGCCUUCACACCCUCCCUGCAGGUCUUACAGAGCGAGCCAUAAUAACAAGCUUCUAUGCCCUGGCUGGCUUUUUGGCUCCAUGGGACACUUCUGCUGCCAAAUCCUGCUUCGAGGGCUUCAUGGGUUUAUCCUUACAUGCACCUUAGUGACGUCCUGUGUUUUGUCUCUUCUAAGCUCAGGUUCGUUUUCUCUGUCUCCUUAUGGCUGUACGGGCGACAAAAUGUCUACAUCUGGAAGGAAAGAAAGCCCUAAUAUAUUUUUGCCUUUUCCUCUGAAAAAUAUCCUGUUGUGCAUGUGGGGAGAGGCAUGUUAGUAAUAAGAGAAGGAAAUGAUGGGGUCAGCUGGGGCUGUUAGAGACGGUCCAGAUGAAAUUUAAAGAGGGAACUGCGGUGAUGGUUUUUGAGAAAACUGGGUGAUGUGAGUUGCAAAACCUACAGCCCCUCAUCUGGAUGGGUAAAACAUACCAAAAAGCUGAGCUCAGACCGGCAAGAUUCACUUCUUCUAAACAUAAAACAAGGAAACGUGGAAGGUUUGCUCUUUCUCUUUAAUAAAGAACGUUAACAACCUGCUUUGGGGAACACGAAUCUUUUUAUGGAGUAAGAACUAGCUCUUUAAAAAUGGGAAAUCCGUGUGGGUAUAGUGUUUAUUUAUGCACACAUAAAUAUACACACAUGCAAUGAUUAUUAAUAUUUACAUACACAUUCGCGUAUGGAAAUAAUUGUCUUGGAAAGUGGUUUAGAUCUAGAAACAAUUGGCAGACAAAGAAAGGAAAGCUGAGAAUGUUCCAGUCUACAAAACCAUCCCAAAGGACAACAUUCCCAACAAUGGGAAGGUUGAUAGCAUAAUAAUCCCCAUAAAAAUAACAUAGGGGAAGGGGGGAGAGGAGGAUCUUCAGUGUUCUUAUGGAUUCAUAUGAAAGGUUUUAGAACCUAAGUUCUUUUCAAAUCAACUUUUAUUUACUUGUGCAAAAAUAGAUUGACAGCUUCAAACGAAGGGUAGGUGGGUGUCAGAGUCUUGGCAACUGGUGAAAACUGCAGCACUUGGGUGGGUGUUUGUUAGAUGGAGGAAAAAAAAUGGAAAGCCAGCCCUCCCUUCUGAAAAGAUAUUCCCACAACGAACACACCACUGUCCACUACAGAAUGUGUGUUUUGUUUUGUCUGUGCAGGAUCCCGGUUGAUUUUUAUCCCCACACGAGACACGCCAUGGAAUAUUUACAUGUUUGGAUACAUC